GCCUCUUGAUUAAACCAUAAGAGGUCCAGCCUGCCCAGUGACAUUGUUCAACGGCCGCGGUAUCCUAACCGUGCGAAGGUAGCGUAAUCACUUGUCCUUUAAAUGAAGACUAGUAUGAAUGGCCCCACGAAAGCUAUACUGUCUCCUUUUUCUAAUCAGUUAAACUAAUCUCCCCGUGAAGAAGCGGGGAUAAACAUAUAAGACGAGAAGACCCUAUGGAGCUUCAAACAACUGAAACACUUGUAUAUCCUCCCUCACCUGCCAACAUUUAACCUCACAUUUUGUUUCUAGUUUUAGGUUGGGGUGACCACGGAGAAAAAACCAACCUCCACGACGAAAGAGACAUCUCUAAACAAAAAGCUACAUCUUUAUGUAUUAACACAUUAACCUUUAUUGACCCA
Molecule: ribosomal RNA, 401 nt
Filed under: Anomaloglossus baeobatrachus
Lineage: Eukaryota; Metazoa; Chordata; Amphibia; Anura; Aromobatidae
Description: LSU rRNA
Rfam family: Bacterial large subunit ribosomal RNA
Source: RNAcentral